UCCCGGAAGUGCGCGCGGCCCCGCCCCCGCCGGUUCGCGUCUCUCUGCUGCGGCGCGGGGACCGCUGUGCUCUCGGGAAAGCCCUGAGAAACUACCAGAACAGGGGCCCUCGGGCCAGUGUUGGGAGCAUACGGUGAAGUGGCAGGGCUGCUGCACCAGUGCGGAACUCCCCUGUGGAAGAUUAGCCCCUUUGGUGACUCGUCGGUUCUGGCCGCUGUGGGACCUUCCACUGUGCAGUCUGAACUUUCAGCAGGUGGAGGAGGGCAGAGACCUGAGAGUGUUGGUCCAUGCCAGUGCGAGAGCCAGUACAGCCGGAAGCCAUGAUGGGACUUUCAAUUCCUUUCUUGGUGGAGGCCAGCGCAGGGGAGAGGGGGUGCCUGUAGGUGCUAGAAGCUUAAAGACUGCUGGGGGCUAGUGGCCGCCUCAGGACAUAAGGUUUCCAGAUAGGACGGGGCAGGUGGUGAUGCAGCUGUAGCUGGUGAGUCUGGCCGGGGCAGGUGGUGAUGCAGCUGUAGCUGGUGAGUCUGAGCGGGAAACAGCCCCCGCGCAGUCGGUGUCACUGUGAAGAGAAAAGGGCCUUCCUUACACAGGAAACGGGGUCUCUGGGGGAUCCAGUGACGUUUCCGACCACACAGACCA
This 639-nucleotide small RNA is filed under the name Pongo abelii (Sumatran orangutan). Its description in RNAcentral is "processed transcript". Lineage: Eukaryota; Metazoa; Chordata; Mammalia; Primates; Hominidae. The record is from RNAcentral.